UUCAUAAUUUAUUUUGAUAAAAUAGCACAGCCAUCUUGACAAUGGCAAACACGUUUCACUCCGACUGAUGUUCUUUUGCUCUGUUUGUACCCCCUUCUCUUCCCUGUGCCACCUAACCUAAGAUUCAGUACAGUUAGGAGGGCCACCCUGGACCACGCUGGGCUCCGAGUGUCUGGCAUAUCUAACGCUAACACAGUCCUGAGAUACACUGGCUGACUGCGCCUCCCUGAACUGGCAGGUGGCAGGUGGCAGCUCUGAGCUGUGGAACUCAGCCAACUUUCAUAGACCAGGCCCCUCACGCUUACAGACCAAAAAUGACAGAGCAGGGAGUCUCCUGGCAUCCUGGACCGAAAUGAGAGCUAAGGAAGGAAGCGUUGGGCUUGGGGCAGGAGACACGCUGGACGCGAUCAGAGCAUCACAGGAAGAUGUUCUCAGACUUAAAUACACACAAUGGUGAGUUUAAAGACUCUAGUUCACCACCUGCGCGUUCGUUGACUAUGGGAAGAAACCCACAUGAACAUACGAAGAACAUGCAAAUUCUAUACAUGCAGAGUCAAGGUGGGAAUCAAACUCACAAGCUCUAGAGGUGUGAGGCUAUCAUGCCACCCACUGAGCCCCAAGUUAAACGAUCGAUUACGAAUUACAGCUGGUUAUAAUGAACCACAAAGGGGUGUAAUUCAUCAGGGCACCAGUGGCAUUGAUAGUAUUCAGAUUAAAUCUCAAGGAAAACCAUGGAAGAUCUUUGAAUUGUCUGUCAAAAGUGCUAUUUAUAUCUGCCUUUGCCAAUGCUGAAGUGGAGAUUGCUCAAAGAGGAGGGAUGUUUCAAUGCCACUCAGCACUCCAGAGAAGACAAUGGCCACAUUGUGUGGACACCUGCGUUUUGAAAACAGAGAUAUCAUUAUCUCAGUCAGCAGCUCAGUCAGCUUCACAGAGGGCCUUGCUCUCAUCGGUAGCAACCCAACACGUAAAUGACACUUCAUGCAGCUGCGAAGCGAGAACACAGCUUCUGUUUCAGAGCCCUUGUGAGAAUGAGAAAAAUCAGUCAUUGAAAAUAUAAUUUGCAGAGUUGUCCAACACUUUCCAGUAACAAAGCAUUAGUUGUCAACAUAUUUAAAUGAUGUAAAUUGUACAUUCAACUGUACUGAAUGUGUUUAAGCAUUUCUCAUCCACUGCUACAUAGUUGCAUAAAAAUAUUUUCAAAGACCCAAGAGAAUACGUCAUUGUUUUGUUUGAUGACUUACACCGCAGACGUACAUGUUGACAUUCUGCG
Long non-coding RNA from Brienomyrus brachyistius, 1270 nucleotides. RefSeq lists it as uncharacterized. The transcript has 3 exons. NCBI's taxonomy places the organism in Eukaryota, Metazoa, Chordata, Actinopteri, Osteoglossiformes, Mormyridae. The record is from RefSeq and is a predicted model, not a curated record.